Xiphophorus couchianus (Monterrey platyfish) is the source of this 1672-nucleotide long non-coding RNA. RefSeq lists it as uncharacterized. The transcript is spliced from 6 exons. The record is from RefSeq and is a predicted model, not a curated record. Lineage: Eukaryota; Metazoa; Chordata; Actinopteri; Cyprinodontiformes; Poeciliidae.
AGACUUUGUGUCAGUCAUACCGUUCUGGGCUCGGUCUCGUAGAUGCUUGCCCGAAUUAACAAAGCAAUUAUGCUAAUCAUACCGCAAGAAAAAAUAAAUAAAUUACACACUCGUAUAAUUAAAUAUCUUUUUUGAGAAUGACUCAUUUCAGCGUUUUAGUAGGCAAUGUCUCCACUUUUAAUGUAUUUAUUUCCUGACGUUAAAAAACAAAUUUUCUUUCAGAUGUACUGUCCAUUUUGUGGAACUGCCGCCAUAAAUUCUGCAGACUUUUGUUGUCAAUGUGACAGAAACAUAAAAUGUGUCCAAGAUCAUGCAAACAAAGCCCAAGAUGAGAGGAACACUACCACUGCAACUCCCGAUGUUCAACCAAGCACCAGCACAGGUGUAGAGUAUUUCAUGAACUUUAGAGCUAUAAAAGAGAGGGAAAGAAAGAAAUUUUUUACCAAGAAGCAUCAGAACAAAACACAGAAGGGAAAUAAACUGAAGAUUAAUGUUGGGCUUAUGAGGAUGCAGGGAGAUUCCCUUAAGACAGUGAGAGGGAAGUUACUUCCAGUUGAGAUUCACCCUGAGUGGGCAUCGGAACAAGUGCUUGCUGCUGCUGUAAAGAAGCAAAAGGAUAUAGGUCAAUAUAGACCUGAGAGAUUGUGCCCAUGUCUUGUUGUAUCCUGAUGCAAGGGAGGUUAAGAACAUCCCAGGAACAGACAUUCCUUUCACAGUGCAAAAGUACAAGGAGGCAAUUGGAAAGCCUUACCAAAGAAUUACGCUUUACAUUUGCCCUGUUGAGGAAUUUGCAAAAAGCUAUAUCCAGUGCAGGUACAUUGACUGAACUACACCAGUCAGUUGAAAGACAUGCAAGCAUCUUGCAAACUGCUGGCUGCUUGCAGUUCCCUGUGACUGUUGAUGACAAAUUGAAAAUUGUAAAGGAGUUCAUUGAUUGGUACAUCAUUUACCGCAACCAUUUCUCUAUUCAAAGAUUCAAGGAUGGCCUUUCAACACUGAACUUCCAGAAUGCUUUGGAGCAGCAUGCUUCCGUCUUCAGGCCAUUUAUGUGUGCAAGAGUGGAACAGCUGACAUCCAAAAUAUUGGAGGAAAUAUUUGAGGUUCAGCUCAGUGAAAAGGGUAGCAGCAGACGACAUGAGGAAACAAGAGUGCUAGGAUUCUGGAGAGACUUUCUCCUUGACACAGAAGAACAAAAAACGGGUCUCUCUCUCCAGGACAUCCUGAUGUUUGCCACCGGCUUGAACACACUACCUCCAUCUUCAAUUCUGCCACCACCAAAACUGAUCUUUCAGGCCACUUCUCGUUUUCCUGUCAGUAGCACCUGCUCCAACACUAUCAAAAUACCAAUGUCCAAGACGUAUCAUCAGUUUAAAGAAAACAUGGACUUUGGGAUUCAAAACUCCCCUGGAUUUGGGCUUUAUUAAGGUCAAAUGCAUAACAACAAAACAAAAUGCUAACUAUUUAACUUGUCAAACCUGUUCAGUUAUGACACUGUUUAGUGUUUGUGUGCGACCUUCAAAUUUGGAUUCUUGUUUGUUUAUAAGUCCGCCAUGUUUUUCAGUUUGAUAUAGUUUUCGACACAUGAUUCCCAACUCUGUGGAUGUGCUAGGCCACACUGUCUCUGGAGGUUCUCAAAAUGUGCCUGAAGGUGUUCAACUCCACAUUGAAUGUU